This 107-nucleotide small nuclear RNA is filed under the name Fasciola hepatica (liver fluke). The record is from RNAcentral. Lineage: Eukaryota; Metazoa; Platyhelminthes; Trematoda; Plagiorchiida; Fasciolidae.
AAAGAACAAAAACUUUUCAGAAUUUCGCGUGUAACUCUUGCACAGGGGCCAUGCUUAUCUUUUCUGUAUCGUCCCAAUUUUAGUAUAUGUACCGCCGAAGUGAGUAC